Molecule: small RNA, 73 nt
Filed under: Alkalihalobacillus alcalophilus
Lineage: Bacteria; Bacillati; Bacillota; Bacilli; Caryophanales; Bacillaceae
Source: RNAcentral
CUACAACCGCACGGACUAGGUUUUCAAACGGAAUUUUACAAUUUCUACCUAAUGAUGGCGAGUCUGAGUAUAU